This is a long non-coding RNA of Podarcis raffonei (Aeolian wall lizard), 3363 nucleotides long. RefSeq lists it as uncharacterized. Lineage: Eukaryota; Metazoa; Chordata; Lepidosauria; Squamata; Lacertidae. The transcript has 2 exons. The record is from RefSeq and is a predicted model, not a curated record.
GACGGCCUGUUUUUAUAUUUACCUCAGGAGGCGGCUUGGCUGGAUCCGAGGGAGGAGCAACGGCGGCAACAGCGGCGGCGUCCUGGGUCCUGACAGGAGCUGAAGCAGCGUCCACUCAGGUGGACGCCAGGCCUUUCCACACGACGCUUGACGGUGAAAAUUUCCAGUAUUGGAAAAGAAACUGAGAAGAGUUCGGGUGAAUACAGUGAAAAUCUGUCACUGCUACAUAGUAAUAACAAAGAAUGGGGGAAAUUCAAUUGAUCAUAGAAAGUAAACACCAUUAUUUCUUUUAAAUCAAUGCAAAUUAAUCUUGUACCAGCUUGGCAGUAUUUGUCCAGGACAUUAGGUACUUUUUGUCUAGGGGAAACCCAGCUGAACUAUAUUUUCACUUCACAUGACCUUUUACGAAAGGGGGAAUUCCACUCCCUGAAUUAUUUCCUGUGUGUCAUGCCAUUCUGGCAGACAGCCAGAUUUGGGUUUUUUUCUUUUACAAUGCUGGAGAUUUGUUUGAAAUGACAUACAGAAAGAUUGUCUGACUACUAAAAGUUUCUUUUUAAUAAAAUUCUGGACUCUCCCCAGUUUUCCCUUAUCCCUUUGGUUUCACAAUCAUUUUUCUUCCUUCAGUAUCUGACUUCAUGGGGUUUUAUAUGCAACAGUGAAAAGUAUAUUUAAGAUCACUCAUGCUAGUUGUGAAUUAUUGUUAUUAUUCCAUUUCAUACUUCCCCUUUAUAGGGCCCAAGAGUGGGUUACAGUAAUUUAAAAAUGCAAUAUUUUAAUUGCUGUUGUUGUUGUUAUUUACUUUUUUUACUGUCCUUUAAAUUUUAAUGCACCUGUAGGACAAGGAUGUGGUUUGAGGCAAAUCACCCAUUUCUCAGCCCACAUUGCCAGGAAGCCUAGGAGAGGGAAAAGAGAGUUUUGCUGCCAUGUAGUGAACUUUAAUCCUUCUGGCACAGUAUCAGUCCUUAUUGCCCCCCCCCCAACCCAUAAGGGAAAUUUUGAUCAACAAUAAACCUUUUAAUAGGAUCACUGUAAAAUAUCAAAAUGAGAAAUCCAGUAAAAAAGCAAUCUUGUGAGUAGAUAUUUUAGACAAAAUUUCUUUCUGCAUGUAAGAUUUGGGGGAAAUUCCAUGACAGAGCUCAAUACAGGUAAAUGAUAAUAAUUGUGUAUUUUUAAAAUCAUUAAAUAAGGGACAUUUUUAAAAGUCAAUGAUUCUGUAUAGAUAAUUAAAAUCACAAUGUAAUUUUCUGUAUAAAUAUGUGACUAUUAAUCUGACACUGAUACUUGAGGCCAAAUCCCAUAUCUCUUUAAAAUACAGACAGUAGGUUUGCCCAACUCAGAUGUACCUAAGACAUGACUUAAACACUCUUUCAUAGAUAAUGAUGUAGCAGAUUUCAAGUGUCUAGCCAAUACACUAUUUGUAGAGUCAAAGGUUUAGAAUAAGUGACCUUUCAAAAAUCUGAUGAGCUUCUUCAGUAUUGCCUAAUAACGAUUUCUGUAAAUAAUUUACUUCGUAGUACACUAUUGUAACUGUACCUAAGCCUAAGUACAGCUAACCAACCUGGUACCUAGUGCAGCUCUUUCAAGAGUGGUGUAACAUGGUCACAGUUAGGUGCCUCAGUCAGUAGAAUAGCUGUUGCAUUCUGCACCAGCUGCAGCUUCUAGGAUAGCCCCACAGGGUAAUCUAGUCCGGAGGUGACCAGUGCAUUUCUGUCCAGGGAUGAUUAUAGUUGUGUAUCAAACCAGCCAAGUAUGGUAGAAAAUGCUCCUUGCCACUGAGGCCACCUUAACGUCCAGUGGCAAUGAUGGGUCCAGGAGCACCCCACACUAUGUACUUGCUCCUUUAGAGAGAAUUGCAGCCCCAUUUCUGAAGGAAUUACCUAAUUCCUGGAAAGAGAACCACAACCCACAGGACCUCCAUCUUUUGGGGAUUUAGUCUUCCAUUGCAUCCAGGCUCCGGUCCAGAACUUGUACAACCUCACCUCACUCAGAUGGAAGAGAGAAAUAGAGCUGAGUGUCAUCAGUAUAUCAAUGGCACCGUGUUCUAAUUCCCAUAAUGGUCCCUUCUAGCAGUUUCAUAUAGAUGUUAAACACCAUUGGGGACAAAAUGACAUUUUGUGAUACCCUAUAGUGUAACUGCCAGGGGCCUGACAUAGACUUACCCAACGCCACUCUGGAACUGACCCAGUGGGUAGGAGAGGAACAAAUGUAUAACAGUGCAUUCCUCCAGCUACCAACUCAUGGAGUCAGUCCAGUAUUAGCCCAUGGUCAAUGGUAUCAAAAGCUGCUAAGGGAGCAAGCAAGAGCAACAGGGUCACACAUGGUGCUGUACAGAAAAAGAGGAAACAAAGGAAAAGGAAAUGGAACUUUUAACGUCAUUGCUGUGAGUUCCAGUUAAAUGACUAGCAAAAAACAGUACACUCUACAUUUCUUGCUAGCAAGCAACUUUGUCAUUUUAUUUAUUUGAAAUAUUUAUAAACUCAACAUAUAGCAGUGUACAACAACAAGAAAAUAUAAGGCAAAACAAACUAUUUCCAAGGAGGAAUUUGAUACUAUCUGCACACUCAUUCAUCCUUUUGAGAAAGCUUGCAGAAAUAGAACUUUUAGCAUCCAGUGGAAGAUCUACUGUGUUGGAGAUUGUCUACUUUCAAAAUGCUCUGUGCUUCCCAAGGUAGGUGCCACUGAACUGAAGGAGCAACCACCAUGGAUUGAACAUCAGGCACGGCACCACAAGGAAGACCUCCUUAGACGACCACAGUAAAUAGGCAGGUAUAGAAGGGGUAAAGCAAUCUCUCACAUCCUGGUCCCAAGUUAUGUAGGGCUUUAUACACUAGCAGUAAGACCUUACAUUUGGCUCAGUAACAUAGUGGCAGUUGGUGAAGUUUAGUGCUGAUGUUAUGUGUUGACAGACAGCAACCCUGGCUGCAGGGGCAGCCCAAGACCUCACUCAUUUCACAAAAUCACUAAGAAGGUGCCUACAACAUUUGCCCCCAUUUCUCUCUUUCUAGGAAAGUUAGACACUUCUUUUAAAAAAAUGAAAGCUCAGAGUCCGGGGCACCUGCCCUGGGUCACUAAUGUAAGUCUUCAUGGGUGCCAGGAUGGCAACCCCUGCCUUAAAAUGAUGUUUUCAUUCUCUUUGAUUAGUCAUUGAUUACUCCAGAUUUCUUGUAAAGACUUACUGCUUUUUGCCCAGACAACCUGACUCGUAAGAUUUGGCCCUGUUGUUACUGAUUUCAUCUUCUUUACUGAUCUUUAUGGUGUAUCUUUUUUAAAAUGUUGCAAUUUUUAGUUUACCAUGUAGAGUUUUUUUAAUAUUAAGCAGUUUGGAAAUGCUUUUAAAUAAAUAAAUAAUCUAUAUUUACUCUC